RNAcentral lists this ribosomal RNA (497 nucleotides) under uncultured bacterium. RNAcentral's name for it is "partial 16S ribosomal RNA". It matches the Rfam family "Bacterial small subunit ribosomal RNA", at positions 28 to 507 of the family's 1533-position model. The record is from RNAcentral.
GAUGAACGCUGGCGGCGUGCCUAAUACAUGCAAGUCGAGCGAACAGACGAGGAGCUUGCCCCUCUGACGUUAGCGGCGGACGGGUGAGUAACACGUGGAUAACCUACCUAUAAGACUGGGAUAACUUCGGGAAACCGGAGCUAAUACCGGAUAAUAUAUUGAACCGCAUGGUUCAAUAGUGAAAGACGGUUUUGCUGUCACUUAUAGAUGGAUCCGCGCCGCAUUAGCUAGUUGGUAAGGUAACGGCUUACCAAGGCAACGAUGCGUAGCCGACCUGAGAGGAUGAUCGGCCACACUGGAACUGAGACACGGUCCAGACUCCUACGGGAGGCAGCAGUAGGGAAUCUUCCGCAAUGGGCGAAAGCCUGACGGAGCAACGCCGCGUGAGUGAUGAAGGUCUUCGGAUCGUAAAACUCUGUUAUUAGGGAAGAACAAAUGUGUAAGUAACUAUGCACGUCUUGACGGUACCUAAUCAGAAAGCCACGGCUAACUACGUG